CCUUCGAUAGCUCAGUUGGUAGAGCGGUGGACUGUAGCGGUUCUGAUUAUUUCGUGGAGAUAGAGAGAUAUCCAUAGGUCGCUGGUUCAAAUCCGGCUCGAAGGA
This 105-nucleotide transfer RNA is filed under the name Dufourea novaeangliae. It matches the Rfam family "tRNA". Rfam says of the family: Transfer RNA (tRNA) molecules are approximately 80 nucleotides in length. Their secondary structure includes four short double-helical elements and three loops (D, anti-codon, and T loops). Further hydrogen bonds mediate the characteristic L-shaped molecular structure. tRNAs have two regions of fundamental functional importance: the anti-codon, which is responsible for specific mRNA codon recognition, and the 3' end, to which the tRNAs corresponding amino acid is attached (by aminoacyl-tRNA synthetases). tRNAs cope with the degeneracy of the genetic code in two manners: having more than one tRNA (with a specific anti-codon) for a particular amino acid; and 'wobble' base-pairing, i.e. permitting non-standard base-pairing at the 3rd anti-codon position. Lineage: Eukaryota; Metazoa; Arthropoda; Insecta; Hymenoptera; Halictidae. The record is from Rfam by way of RNAcentral.